This 248-nucleotide ribosomal RNA is filed under the name uncultured bacterium. RNAcentral's name for it is "partial 16S ribosomal RNA". It matches the Rfam family "Bacterial small subunit ribosomal RNA", at positions 523 to 769 of the family's 1533-position model. The record is from RNAcentral.
AUACGGAGGAUGCGAGCGUUAUCCGGAUUCGAUUGGGUUUAAAGGGUGCGUAGGCGGCUUUUUAAGUCAGUGGUGAAAUCCUGCCGCUUAACGGUAGAAUUGCCAUUGAUACUGAAGAGCUUGAGUACAAUUGAGGUAAGCGGAAUGUGUAGUGUAGCGGUGAAAUGCUUAGAUAUUACACAGAACACCGAUUGCGAAGGCAGCUUACUAAACUGUCACUGACGCUGAUGCACGAAAGCGUGGGGAGC